RNAcentral lists this ribosomal RNA (253 nucleotides) under uncultured bacterium. RNAcentral describes it as "partial 16S ribosomal RNA". It matches the Rfam family "Bacterial small subunit ribosomal RNA", at positions 524 to 776 of the family's 1533-position model. The record is from RNAcentral.
UACGUAGGGUGCGAGCGUUAAUCGGAAUUACUGGGCGUAAAGCGUGCGCAGGCGGUUUUGUAAGCCAGAUGUGAAAUCCCCGGGCUCAACCUGGGAAUGGCAUUUGGGACUGCAAGGCUGGAGUACGGCAGAGGAGACUGGAAUUCCUGGUGUAGCAGUGAAAUGCGUAGAUAUCAGGAGGAAUACCGAUGGCGAAGGCAGGUCUCUGGGCAGUAACUGACGCUGAGGAGCGAAAGCGUGGGGAGCGAACAGG